RNAcentral lists this signal recognition particle RNA (300 nucleotides) under Aotus nancymaae (Ma's night monkey). RNAcentral's name for it is "Metazoan signal recognition particle RNA (ENSANAG00000003413.1)". It matches the Rfam family "Metazoan signal recognition particle RNA". From Rfam's summary of the family: The signal recognition particle (SRP) is a universally conserved ribonucleoprotein. It is involved in the co-translational targeting of proteins to membranes. The eukaryotic SRP consists of a 300-nucleotide 7S RNA and six proteins: SRPs 72, 68, 54, 19, 14, and 9. The record is from RNAcentral. Lineage: Eukaryota; Metazoa; Chordata; Mammalia; Primates; Aotidae.
GCCGGGACAGUGGCAUGUGCCUGUAGUCCCAGCUACUCCAGAGGCUGAGGUGGGAGGAUCUCUUGAGCCCAGGAGUUCUGGGCUGUAGUGCGCUAUGCCGAUCAGGUGUCCACACUAAGUUUAGCAUCAAUAUGGUGACGUUCCGGGAGCAGGGGCAACCUCCAGGUUGCAUAAGGACUGGUGAACUGGCCCAGGUCAAAAACGGAGCAGGUCAAAACUCCCGUGCUGAUCAGUAGUGGGAUCAGGCCUGUGAAUAGCCACUGCACUCCAGCCUGGGCAACAUAGUGAGACCCCAUCUCU